RNAcentral lists this ribosomal RNA (253 nucleotides) under uncultured bacterium. RNAcentral's name for it is "partial 16S ribosomal RNA". It matches the Rfam family "Bacterial small subunit ribosomal RNA", at positions 524 to 776 of the family's 1533-position model. The record is from RNAcentral.
UACGAAGGGGGCUAGCGUUGCUCGGAAUCACUGGGCGUAAAGCGCACGUAGGCGGCUUUCUAAGUCGGGGGUGAAAUCCUGGAGCUCAACUCCAGAACUGCCUUCGAUACUGGAGAGCUUGAGUCCGGGAGAGGUGAGUGGAACUGCGAGUGUAGAGGUGAAAUUCGUAGAUAUUCGCAAGAACACCAGUGGCGAAGGCGGCUCACUGGCCCGGUACUGACGCUGAGGUGCGAAAGCGUGGGGAGCGAACGGG